RNAcentral lists this long non-coding RNA (809 nucleotides) under Coturnix japonica (Japanese quail). RNAcentral describes it as "lncRNA (ENSCJPG00005011584.1)". Lineage: Eukaryota; Metazoa; Chordata; Aves; Galliformes; Phasianidae. The record is from RNAcentral.
AAACUAUUGAAAAGCUGAAAGGCCGCUUCUGGCAUUCUCUCUGAGAAGGAAAUCUGCACAUUGUCUCUGGGAAACUGACUAGUAAAGGAUUGCUUGAAAAAAUUAUAUCAUACCUCAAGUCCCUGUCAAAGGGAUAAUGCCAGAAGGAAAAUGAAGUCCAUCAUAAAUAUUACUUGGUUUGGAUGAUACUCAGAACAAUAUCAGCCCCAGCAUUCUCUGAAGGUCUUCAGCACAGAAGACUCUGGACAUCAUCCAGCUCUGUGGUAACUCAUCUUGCCAACAUUCUCCUCUUCUCAGAUACCCCACAGCAACUGAGAACAGACAGUGGAGAGAUAUUUCAUCAGAACAGAUUGAGAAAGUUAACUUUUCCAAACUUCAGAUCUUCUAGAAAGCACAUAAAAUUGACGUUAUUUGACUGUCUCUUCCAAUUGUCAGAGAGAUUCCAUAGAUCCAGUGAUGGACGGGGAGAGCAGUGGUAGCCAACAUAAAGAAACUUUCUCCAUCUUUCUCGCUAACCUGGGACCUGUAAAUUACAUGGAAUAGUGAAAAGUAAAAACACGUACAACCAAAAUGUCGUAUUUCUUAUUUAGCAUGAUUACAAUACAAAAAAACAGCUGUGAUCAUUGCAUGCUCAAAUGCUUGUCUAUCUUUAUUCCUUUAUGAUGUUGCAAUUAAACUGUAGAUUGCUAUUAAAUUUUCUUAAGUGGGACAGUAUUUCAUAGAAAAUGCACAUUUUUCUAAUUCCCUGAACUCCUCCUUGAAACAUCGGUGUUAAUAAAACAGUAUUAAAUUAAUCCUGCUGUAGUAAU